Molecule: long non-coding RNA, 4186 nt
Organism: Sparus aurata (gilthead seabream)
Lineage: Eukaryota; Metazoa; Chordata; Actinopteri; Spariformes; Sparidae
Source: Ensembl
CUGACUUUGUGCUUUGCUCCCAUCUGUAAUGACUCUGAAUUUAUGUUUUUUGUAUCAUGUCUUGUUGUGUCUUUGUUUUGAUUUUCCAUGCCCCUCUGUGUCCUUUAAGUUUCUAUGUUCUCCCCUCUGUCUGUUGUAUUGUUCCCUUCACGUUUUCUCAUGUGCUCCUCCCCCUCAUUACCACACCUGGCCUCCUCCCUCCUCACCUGUUCCUCGUCUGUUCAUCAGCGUCUGUGUUUUUAGUCUGUGUCUUCCCUUCACUCCUUGUCCGAUCAUUGUAUUCUGUCUGUCUCUGUCUGCGUCAGCCUCCGGUCAUGCGCCUGCUCCUGUUCAUGUCAUGUCCUCCCAGUCUCCCCAUGUGAGCUCCUGGGCCCCUUCACCUGGAAAAGGUCUAAUCAUAUUUGGCUACAUCUCUGGAGAGGAUAGCGAGGACAGACGCUCAGCUGCAUUCAUUCAAAUGGAUGGAACGAUGCAACUCUCCGGUUACAUCAGCGCCUUCUGCACCCAAGGCCACUGAUCCCUCCAGUAAUUUACCUCGGCUUUUUGAAUAUGAAUAACAGUAUUAAUUUUAAUAGCACAUGCUACCACAUUCUAAAUCAUAUUAACCUCUUCCGAAUGACCUCUGAAUUUACAAUUUGCAAACUAUUUUCCAUUGGUGUCCACAAAAGAAUAGAAAAUAGAACCAUCCUAUUCAUGAGUUCUUCUUUCGUUUCUAAAAGAAAACUAUGAAGUGUACUGUUGAAGGGCCCAUCUCACUUAAUGCACAAUUUUUUAAGAUUGGAAGUGAGACAAAAAUCCCCUAGAGGAAAUAAUCCUGUCACCCCUAGACCAGCCGCAGAUAGUGACAGACCUACCAUUUUCUCUCCUCUAAAUGAAAAUGUCAACAUGUAUACAUCACGGUGGCUGACUUCACUGUUCACAUUAGUUCUCCUUCAAAGGCAAUGUCCAAUCUGCAUAAUGUAUACUGCCUCCAUCUGACUGACAGUAUUUUGCUAAAUAGAUAAAGAAUUAAUUAUUAAUCAGGUUUCAUGUACGCUGCGGCAUGUUAAUAACGCUGAAGGGAUAAUGCGACAAGCUAGAUGCUUAUUUUCUGCCCCACGAUGGGACUUAUUCAAACUUAGCGUGCCUCGGCUCUGUAUACUGUUAAAUCGAAAAUGACUAGUGGGGGAAGUGUUACAUAAAAUAAACCCACAAUCACCAGCAAAUUUUUGGUCAUGAAAACAAUCUCCAUAUAAUGACGUCAGCUGUCUUAAAGGAGCAGUUCACAUUAAACUGGACAUUAAUUGAUUUACACAAAGGAUUUUUCUCUGCCAUGGAAAAAUACACACGCACUGUUCGUGGAUUAAAUGAGAUUCCGAAUCAUUCAUGUCGAAAGCCAAGGAACAGAGAAUAUUGAGUGCCCACCGUGGCCUCUCCUCCUGAAGGACCACAGAGGCCCUAUUUCUUUAACUGAAACCCUGUUCUUCAGACCUUGACCGACUCAAAACAUAUGGCUGUGUCUAAGCUACUGUUACAUAAAUGUUGCCUCUUUUAUUCAUUCAAGAAUAACCAACUCAGUGAAAGUUGUCUGUUUCAAGGCCUUUGUGCAUAAAUCAAAUUCAAAUCUUUGCUCAACUGCCUGCUGAGGGGGUUACGCAAUCCGCUGCAACAUUUUUACUGACAGACGAAUCAUGAAUCAGGUCUCUGGUACUCUCGUUUGUCACUUUCCCCAAGACUACAGAAUCGAAAAUGAACAAAUAGUUUUAUCUUCCCUUGUAACUGUGAGCAAACACAUUGUCUCAUUGUUUUUCGAAAAGGCAGCUCUACCUCUGCAUACGUGGACACAAUUUGUCUUGUGCAUAAAGGCUGACUCUUUUUUCCAGUCAUUCAGACCUUUUCCACAUCAGAAUACUGUUCAUGAUGUUAGAUAAAUGAUGCACAUCAAGAUACAGCUGAAUGACAGGAAGUCCCAACAUGUGAAUAGUAUUCGCUGUAUUUAGGGACAGCAGCCAUUGCUAGUUGUAUUAUACAUGGAGUUCAAACUAAAGUCGGGCUCCUCUGAAUUUAAAAACUGUUGAAAAUUGUGCCUGCCAUUGGACUCGGUAUCAUUUGGCAGAGGCAUUGUUCGAAUAAUUGCCUUCAAGGUACAUUGUGUUGGAUUUAGGCAGGAUCAAUCAGCAAAAGUGGAACGCAAGGUUCAUAAUUCAGAACAUAUUUCACAUAAUUGUUUUUGUUGGAGUAUAAUCACCUGAAGUAUCUUUGUUUCCAUUAGCUUAGAAUGAGACUUUUAUAUCUACAGAGGGACCAGGUCAAGUUUUUAGCGGUCAACAUCUGGGAUGGUGAAACGAGGGAUAUUAAGUUGGUUGCAAUCUGCAACCUCAACACUAGAUGCCACUAAAUCCUGCACACUGGAUUAUUUAUCUAGUGUGUAGUUUUCAAUGUUUAAUAAUUCUGGCUUCUCGGAAUUGCUAAAUUGCUGUUUUUCUUUUUAAGUGUUUUUGUAAACUGAACAUAUUUUAUUUUGGGACAAUUGGAUGAAACAAGCAAGCUUGAAGACUGUUAGAAAUGUAAUCAUAAUAGCUGUGUCUCACUACAAACUAGAGCUGCAAAUAUGUGAUGCCUGAAUUGUGCACCUUUAGGGUAAUUAAAAAUACAUACUGUAUACUUCUCCAUGAAAGUACUACAACCUGGAUCUUACUAGGCAAAUAUAAUUCAACGUUUCUAUGUUAACUUAAUUUUGCACUCAGCCCUGACAUCAGAGAGCUAGCAAGCAGGAGUGCUCAGUUGGAUAUAACUUUACAGCAAACUCCCACGAUGCUAAGCUUCAUACAACUUAUUACUGUCCAACCUUAACCCGAGUACCAACACCAGUAGCUCAAAGAUUGAAGGUUAGAAUUGAAGGUUAAUCCAUCAUUACCGUCUUUUGCAUUGCAGUGGAUCUUCUGUGUACUUUAGUUUGGCCUCUACUCCAUUGUGAUUUGUAAUAAAUUCUGUUGAGUAGGGACUAUAAUUACAUAUCAUUUACUUUGGGAUUCUCAUUCCAGAAAUGUUUUUUUUCUCUGCAGAGCUGUACACGGACUCACUAGAGAUGGAUGCAGCACUUAGUAACCUUUCCACCUUUACACCACCCACAGCCCUAUGUUUAAUUCAGUAAGAUGCUCUCUCAUUCAUAGGGGAUGUACAGUUUGUGAGCGACAUCUCUCAGUCUCCUUCUGCAUGCCUACCACAGCAUGGACUUUCAAAGCCGUCUAAACUCCCAUAAGGCCACAGAUUUCAUGUGUGCAUCUAUUUUUCUUAUGCUAUUAUCACGAUAACUGUUCGCUCGCAGUACAAAUCAGCUUGAUGUGACGAUCCAAAUUGCUUCUGGUGUCAUUGCUCAGGCAUAUGCUUUCCCAUUAUUAUCUACAGUUAUUUUUCAAAGCAAAUGUACUGGUAGCUAGUGAGAUGACAUUAAGGACAAUUACAAAAUUGAUGUGCACGGCAGCAUUCAAAAGGGUCAUACAAGAGUUGCGAAGAUGGCUUUUUUUUCAUGCCCCAGGCUCCAAACAAAAUUAUUGAGAAAUAUUUUAUUUACUCAAAAAGAUAUGAUUCUAUUUAAUGACUCUAUUGUCAUGUAAAGGAUUUGUCAUUUGAGAAUUUUCACAUUUUGUAAUGCCCUAUUGUAUAAAUCUUGAUGCCUCUCUCUGUCUAUUACUAAUUAUGUUGUGCGGCCUGCCCUCUUCCAGGUCAACAUGGUGGACAGGAGGUCGUCUGGCUCGGGCUCCACUUGGUGAUGCCUCGUCCUGCUCGGUCGUCUCCUGGUUCCACUAACAUUGCAUAACUUGUAUCAGAUCUUCUGUUGAUGUACCUUGUAAACUGUGAAUUGUUGCUCUUUUCUGUACACGCAACAUCUAUUGCAUGUCUGUCCGUCCUGGAAGAGGGAUCCCUCCUCUGUGGCUCUUCCUGAGGUUUCUUCCAUUGUUUUUUUUUUACCCUGUUAAAAGGUUUUUUUUCCAUCAACAUGUGAAGUUUUUCCUCACUCGAAUCGAGGGUCUAAGGACAGAGGAUGUUGUUCACUGUACAGAUUGUAAAGCCCACUGAGGCAAUGUGAUUGUGAUUUUGGGCUAUAUAAAUAAAAUUGAUUUGAUUUGAUUUGAUUUGUAUACACUAUUAUCACAACACUUUUGUGUGCCCGGCUUUUCCUCUUUGAGGUGAGUUAGGGAAAAGG